Molecule: long non-coding RNA, 377 nt
Filed under: Salvia miltiorrhiza (redroot sage)
Lineage: Eukaryota; Viridiplantae; Streptophyta; Magnoliopsida; Lamiales; Lamiaceae
Description: long non-coding RNA (SMIL_LNC009201)
Source: RNAcentral
GGCAUUUGCAAAUGAACUUCAACACGCGUGAAGACUCUCCACUAAUAGCCGCAUCACAAGCAGCGACGUCGUCGGCUGCCGAUGUCCGCCAUAUGGAUCGUUUUGUGGGUGGCACGAGCAACGCACGCCAAACUAGUCUCAUCGAGAUAGUUGUUGGAUUCAUGUUCAUGUCAACAGUUUUAAUUUUACUUGGUAUUUUCCUUGGAUUCGUACUUGCCAAAUUGUCAUAGAAUAUGGGUUGAUGGUGUCUUUUGUGUUUUGACAUGAUCAUUUCGAUGACUCGAAUAUUUAAGCCUAAGAAACUUUAUGCAUUUUUUGGUGAUUUUGGAUACUUGUAUUCGAAUGACAAAGUUUUUUAUUGGAAUACAAUGGGCUGG